UUCCUUUUGUCAUCGUCAUAGCACACAUGUGCCAACUCCUGGAGGAGCUCAACAACGAACUGACUUGUGUCGCUUAAGACAGCAACGGCUUAUUCACUCUGAAUUCAACCUUGAUGAAUAAACAAGAUCAACUGAGAACCUGACUCACUCAUCAUUUGAAUCGAGUUUGGCUGACCGUCGAACUGCGUACCCCCGUAGUGAAUGUUAUCAAGGGCACCUGCUAGGACAUCAAAGGUGUGGGACCCUUUCAACCUCUGGCAAGCAAGUGCAGCGGAUCUACUCUCCAAGGUUUCUUCAUCUAUCCAAUGCGCUGUGACACCUAUGAAACUUUGCUGUGGUGGUGGCAACAUAGCUGACUUUACUGAGAUGCGACAUCAAAGUCUUCUUCAUCUGGUUGGCAGCUCCCUCUAUUCUGGCCUGGAGAGUGGGUCUGGAAAUGACCAUACAUUGGGGAUUCAGUGUCAAUAAAAGUUCUUUGAAAGCAGGUUGCUCAACCAAAGAAAAUGGAUGAAGACCCUCACAAAUGAGGUUUAUCAUGAGCUCGUCAACCUUUGCCUGUGGCACACGUCUGUUUGCACCUACUGCCAUCAAGUCACUUAUUUUUUUUUGCUUGUUUGGGGUAUCUGGUGGUUCUUGGUUCGCUUCCGUGUUGCCACGAAGUCAAUAAAGUCCUUAAGCUCUGA
Long non-coding RNA from Labrus bergylta (ballan wrasse), 683 nucleotides. RefSeq lists it as uncharacterized. NCBI's taxonomy places the organism in Eukaryota, Metazoa, Chordata, Actinopteri, Labriformes, Labridae. The record is from RefSeq and is a predicted model, not a curated record.